RNA transcript from Magnolia sinica, 3563 nucleotides. It is a transcript of the gene named pentatricopeptide repeat-containing protein At5g18950, with no coding region annotated. The record is from RefSeq and is a predicted model, not a curated record. The transcript is spliced from 8 exons. NCBI's taxonomy places the organism in Eukaryota, Viridiplantae, Streptophyta, Magnoliopsida, Magnoliales, Magnoliaceae.
AAAACCUCCCUUCAACGGUCAGUCUCAGAUGAGCGAUAAACAGAGGGAAAAUGGGCAAACCUCCCUCUCAUUCCAUCCUCACCUUUGUUCGUCAAAACGCCCGCAAGCUCCAAAACCCUACCCAUUUCCAUGAGAUCCGGAAUCUCUCCGUCCGACGCGUCGGACCAGAAGAACAAACCCUAGAAGAACAGUACACCGAGAUCGCGAAAAGGGUCUGCCAAACGAUCCGAACCCAACCCAGAUGGGAAACCACCCUUCUAUCAGAUUUCCCUUCCCUCGAUCUCUCCGACCCCAACUUCAUCAACUCAAUCUUCAAGCAUCAGAACAACAUAUUGCUGUCACUUCGAUUCUUCCAAUGGCUUUGCUCCCAGAAUCGCUCCCCGCCGGAUGCGCAAUCUUUCGAUAUUGUUUUCAGUGCUCUUGUCAAUGCCAAGGCCAUGAAUGCUGCAACGACCCUCUUGCGUUCGACAAAAUGUCGAGCCGAACCUGCUUCCUUGGAGACUUACAUAAAUUGUAUCUGCAAAGAGGGGAAGAUUGAAGAGGCCUUAUACGCAUUUUCUGAAUUGAAGAAGGUUGGAUCUCCGAUGAAUCUUACGGUCUGGAAUGCGGUCUUGCUAGCUUCUCUCCGGGCGAGACGGACUGAUCUCGUGUGGGAGUUGUAUGGCGAGAUGAUGGAGUCUGGUGUAGCGGGUAAUGUCGCAACCAUCGGUUGUCUGAUUCGGGCCUUCUGUGAGGAGAAGAAGUUAUUGGAGGCGUACGAGCUUCUUCAGGAGGUUGUGGCAAGUGGGUCGAUGCCAGAGGUCGUUUCUUUCACCAGAUUGAUUUCCGAGUUCAGCAAAGAAGGGAACUAUGGGAGGGUUUCGGAGCUUCUACAUCUGAUGAUUGCGAAGAACCAAGCCCCGGAUGUUUUUACGUAUCAGGGCAUUAUCCACGGGCUUUGCAGGAAUGGUAUGGGUGGAGAAGGUUUCCGGGUCUUUAAUGAUCUCAAGGAGAGAGGGUAUGCUCCUGAUGUGGUGAUGUAUACAACGAUGAUUGAUGGGCUUUGCAAGAUGGGUAGAAUGGAUGAUGCCUGUAAGCUUUGGUUUGAAAUGAUUGGGAAGGGAUUGAUUCCGAAUGAAUACACGUAUAACGUCCUUAUCGAUGGAUACUGUAAAUUGGGUAAUUUGGAAUCGGCCUGGUUGCUGUAUACAGAGAUGUGCGAUCGAGGUUAUAGAGAAAGCACGGUGACCUGCAAUAUACUGAUUGCCGGUAUAUGUUUGCAGGGAAGGAUGGACGCUGCAUACCAUCUUUUUGAAGAAAUGCUGGAGAAGGGUAUUGGUCGCGACGUCAUUACGUACAAUACUCUGAUUCAGGGAUUCUGCAACAAUGGGAAGACAGUUGAGGCUAUGGGUCUUUACAGUGAGCUCUUGGGAGCAGGUUUGCAGCCAAGCACUUCCUCUUAUACACCAUUGAUCCGGGGCCUUUGCGAGGAGGGGAAUGUGCAAGAAGCCAUAGAGUUGUUGAAUGAUAUGCUGAGUAAGGGUCUGGAGCCAUUGAUCUGUACUUAUGAUUAUAUUAUAACUGGAUUCUGUGGUCGAGGUGAUGCUACGGAAGGCAUGGAGUGGUUGGCAAGAAUGUUAGACAGCAAGCAAAGACCCCGAGAAGACACCUUUAACAGAUUAGUAGAAUGCCUCUGUUUAGAAGAUCGAGCAGAUGACACUUUACUUGUUUUGGAUGCUAUGUUUGGGAUGGGCUACACUCCUGGGGUGCCCCUUUUUGGGUUGCUUGUCGGUCGAAUUUGCAGGAAUUCAUACCAAACUGAUGAAUGUCUUAAGGAGAUCUUGGGAAGGAAUUUCAGCCUCUGAGUUCUCCCUCCUGUCCUCUAAUGGGAAACAUCUAGGGAUUUUACUCGAAAGCAAGCUUUUGCACGCAUCAGCGGCUCAGAUGUCCUCUCCCAAAACCGACUCUCUCUGUCUGCUAUAAAUUCCCUCUCUUCCUUCUUCUCUCCCUUUGUAAAUCCCGCCUAACACGAAGAUGGGGCGAUCAGUUGAUGCCGCGGUUGGUAGUGCUGCUGGAGGCGGUAGUUGCCGCAGCUGGUGGGUUGCUAGAAAUAAUGGAGGGCCAGGCCAGAAGCAAGGGUUGCUGGAAUAGUGUCUGCUCCCAGCAGAGCACAUGGAUAAAAAUCUUGUUGCCGGAGAAGAGAUGAAAUCAGGUUUUUGGAAGGAGGAGGUGGACUGCUGGAACUAGUUGUGUGUGGUUGGAAAGUGAUUUCGAAUCCCUAGGGUUUCGGAGGUGCAGCAGUUGCACUGUUAACGGCGAUGGGGCCGAGCAGAGACGGAGCAGGGACUGCUCGUGAGUCUGCUAGUUUCAACGGCAGGUGUUGGUUACCAGUGGCAGCCGCUGUGUGUGUGUGGCGUGGGAUUUCUGUGGAGAUGGUGGAAGACUAUCUGCUCAGUUUAUUUUAUAUGGAGGCUUUCUCAAACAUAUGUUGAGUUGCUGGAAAUCCAAAACCCAAUGAUUGUGGAAGAAUAUGAUGUCUCACGUGACGCGUCAAUCCAAAAUAAGUAAGUUGCAGGACAGUCCACAGAGUGAGUGAGGUUAUGAGAAGCUAUCACCAGACUAUCAUACUAUCAUAUCCAUCUGAUUUAUGGGCUGCAUAUAGGUGGUUAUACCAAUGACCCUAUAAAAAUAGAGAUCUAAAAAUACCCAAGUAUUCUUUUAUUAGAGAUGGUACUGUUAUUACUCUUUGGUUGUUGUGAUUAAUGACCUUUUUAUAUAUACAUUGUCAAUGAUGAUGAGGAACUGGCGAGGGCCUCACAAGCAUUGUUGUGUGAAAGUAACACAGUUUUGAAAUAGUGAUCGCUCAGUGGUCAUCAAGGACUGGAUAAAGCUCCACAGAUGAUAGAUAUGGACAACCUACAAUAAUUGGAUCAUUCGGUAAAACUGGAGUUCCCAACUCAGAUGCUUGGAUAUUUGUGUAAGCUUCAAGAAUGAUCGUCCAGAAGAAUUGGAUGCUAGGAAACAGUUCUAUCAGACUACGGCCCCAAGAAAGAUGAAUAUUUUGCCCUCCUAGCUGAGUUCCAUUCAACAUCAGUAAAGCCUCCUCUGCACAUGCCUCCUAAUUAGUAUUGAUGUGUGUGCCAGAUGGAGAUGAAUAUGAUACGAAUGGGGAUGAAGGCCCUGUCCAAGUGCUAACAAGUAUGUGGAUCUCAAACAGAUAGGCAGUGCAGGUGGAUCCUCUCCUGCCAAAUAAAUCCAUUGCAUUUCCAGGCCUUGGCACGCUUUCAGGAAUUCACCAACAGAUAUUGCCAAGAAAAGAAAUCUGCAUUUAUUGCAGAAGGUCAUCAAAUAAGUUUCCUGCUAGCUAGACAGAUAGGAGAGGCCUAGCCAAUCAGAGCUUAGCUGCGUUAGCUGUUGCAAGCCCAAUGACACCAGACCUUGGUUUUUUGAGUGUGUUCCUAGUCUACAUGCUAACGCUAUGUAAUAGUUUGAUGCAGUAGGGUGCAUCUGUAGCUCGUUUUGAAAAUUUUAAAUAGAUAGAUAAUUUUUGUUGGUAUUAUGCUUCUAUGAAUGGAUUAAAAUGA